AGAGGGAUAGCUGGGUCAAAUGGUGGUUCCAUUCCCAAUUUUUCAAGGAAUCUCCAUACUGCUUUCCAUAUUGGCUGUACCAAUUUGCAGUCCCACUAGCAAU
RNAcentral lists this microRNA precursor (103 nucleotides) under Marmota monax (woodchuck). Lineage: Eukaryota; Metazoa; Chordata; Mammalia; Rodentia; Sciuridae. The record is from RNAcentral.